This 236-nucleotide ribosomal RNA is filed under the name uncultured organism. RNAcentral's name for it is "partial 16S ribosomal RNA". It matches the Rfam family "Bacterial small subunit ribosomal RNA", at positions 304 to 527 of the family's 1533-position model. The record is from RNAcentral.
UCGCCCGCCGCGCCCCGCGCCCGUCCCGCCGCCCCCGCCCGCUCCUACGGGAGGCAGCAGUGAGGAAUAUUGGUCAAUGGGCGCGAGCCUGAACCAGCCAAGUCGCGUGAGGGAUGACGGCCCUACGGGUUGUAAACCUCUUUUGUCGGGGAGCAAAUUCCGCCACGUGUGGCGGAGUCGAGAGUACCCGAAGAAAAAGCAUCGGCUAACUCCGUGCCAGCAGCCGCGGUAAUACA